This 492-nucleotide ribosomal RNA is filed under the name uncultured bacterium. RNAcentral's name for it is "partial 16S ribosomal RNA". It matches the Rfam family "Bacterial small subunit ribosomal RNA", at positions 29 to 507 of the family's 1533-position model. The record is from RNAcentral.
AGUGAACGCUGGCGGUAGGCCUAACACAUGCAAGUCGAACGGCAGCACAGUAAGAGCUUGCUCUUACGGGUGGCGAGUGGCGGACGGGUGAGGAAUACAUCGGAAUCUACUUUUUCGUGGGGGAUAACGUAGGGAAACUUACGCUAAUACCGCAUACGACCUACGGGUGAAAGCAGGGGAUCUUCGGACCUUGCGCGAUUGAAUGAGCCGAUGUCGGAUUAGCUAGUUGGCGGGGUAAAGGCCCACCAAGGCGACGAUCCGUAGCUGGUCUGAGAGGAUGAGCAGCCACCGUGGAACUUAGACACGGUCCAGACUCCUACGGGAGGCAGCAGUGGGGAAUAUUGGACAAUGGGCGCAAGCCUGAUCCAGCCAUACCGCGUGGGUGAAGAAGGCCUUCGGGUUGUAAAGCCCUUUUGUUGGGAAAGAAAAGCAGCAGGUUAAUACCCCGCUGUCCUGACGGUACCCAAAGAAUAAGCACCGGCUAACUUCGUG